Molecule: long non-coding RNA, 2087 nt
Organism: Apteryx rowi (Okarito brown kiwi)
Lineage: Eukaryota; Metazoa; Chordata; Aves; Apterygiformes; Apterygidae
Source: Ensembl
AGGGUGGGUGUGAUGUUAUAAGCUGAGGAAAAAGUCGUGCAUGCAAGCAGCCUAUUUGUGUUAUGGUAAAUAUACUUUGUUUUUAAUUUUGACUGGAGUUAAGGGGAAUAGCAGUUGUAGACCACAAGAGCUGGGAGGAGACAGCAGAGCAGUUGGGUGGUGAGGAAGGAGAGGAUGUGAAGAGCAGUCAGGAUGAACCUGCUAUGGGAAGUCUGAAGUUCAGACUGUUCUGAAAACAGCUUAUUUUAUCCACAGCUCCUAGUUGCAGAACCUCCAAGAUACUUCUCUUCUGGGUCUGGCAGAAGAUCAGUUUGUUUGUCCUGAAAAGCUCUGGGAGAUGGAUUUGUGCAAAGCAUCUGGAAGAGCCUGGCUGUAACUCACACUGCCUCUCCAAGGAUGGAGUCCCUCUGUGCUGAGCAGGGGCUCUGCAACCAUCUCUAUUGCACAGAGACGCCCCGAUGCAAGUGCUAAUCAACCCAAGCGAUGAUUGCAAUUGCACUGCAACUUAUUUUGAUAAUGUGUUUUGGCUCCUUAGCUACAGGUCCAAAUAAUUUAGCAGUCAUCCAGACACCGACGAAAGUACACUUAUCAAUUGGAGACUCCACGGAAAUUGCAUGUAUUUGGGAAAAAAUCAGUUCGAUUGAGAGGUAUAGAGUAAGCUGGUAUCUUGUCAAUGAAGAGAACAUCACAAAAACUGUAACAUCGGAGCUUGUCUACAUAUCCAAUGUCACCCACAAAAACAAGGAUGUGCUAGUGAUAGAAGCUGCCAAUGUAAAUAACACUGGAUUUUACUACUGUGAGAUAAUUAUUGAAAUACCUUUCUGUGAAAGAGUAUAUGGAAAUGGAACAACACUGACUGUUGAAAUGAAAGAAGCUGACUCACUCGAAAAGAGAGAGAUGGCAAUUUUGGCCAUCAUUCCUUUCUUAGUGGCAGUGGGAAGCUUGUAUCUUUGCUGCAAAAAGAAACAGGACUCAAAACUUUCUGGUUCUACCCAGCUUCCUAUGCCAGAAGAAAGACAUGAGGAGGAGCAGAUGCUUCAGCUAGAUGAACUUCAUGGAAGAAGUGAAUUCAUCAAUGAAGCAGCUGAAGAAAACUCAUCAUGUAAUUCUGCUGAAUGGAACGUGAUCAUUUUAAUACAAAUUGUGGUCUUUUCUGUUAUUAGCUGUGGCUUUCAGUGCAAAAGCUGUGUCUACACUGUAUGAAUCAUUUGAUCUUUUUUGCAAUGAACCAAGAUAAAAGAUGGCAAAUCCAUUGUGACUACUGUAUCCAGUGCAGCAGAUGAAGAAAGCCCAUGAAUGAGGGCAGCUGAAGAGUCAGGAACAAAAGUGAGACAAGGAUUUACUAUCUACUUUGACACUAAGAACUAAAGGAUCAUGUCAUAAAUAACCGGUAUGGAUAAAGAUCUAUGAAACUGAAAACAAUACCAUAAUUUGCUGCUGAAAUAUGGAUUACAUGAGUCUGCUGUCAGAAGCACAUCAGUGGGACAAUAUGCCAGAACAAAUGUUGGUUCAGAACAGUCUCUGAAUGUUUUGUCAUUGACUUUAUCAUAAGGAUCUGUGAAUUUGGAGUGUUCACAGUUUUAGAAGACUAUGUCUUCAACUCUACCCCCAAUAUCCAGAGUGCAGAACUAAUAAGGGAUGUAUUGCCAUACUUCGUGUCUUCUGGAUUGAACGGUAUUUUUCAACAAAAGUGUUACUUCAGGCAGCCAAGCAUUGGCUGCCUGAAAUUUAAUGGCAAUCUUUCAACCAAAUAGGUAGGUACUACAUAUAGGACGAAGUCUGAUCCCUGAAACAGUCAUCAGUGCUGACUGCAUCUUACCAAGGGUGAUAUGCCAAAAGGCAUUACUUUCCUGCAGACAGGAACUGCUGAUGUUAAUUUAUUCACAAUAUUAAAGCCUGCCAGAGUAGGUAGUCUCCUAUGGUCAAUGAAAUACUCAGUUUAAAUGAAAUUAUAUAUAAUAGAAUUAUAUAUAAUUAUCAUUUGAUUGUGGGGAGGUUUGGAGCAAAUGGGUGUUAACACUUAUUCCACUUUUGCCCAUUCUAAAACUAGAGAAUCACUGAAGAAAUAAAUCAAAACUAAAAAUGCA